Molecule: ribosomal RNA, 235 nt
Filed under: uncultured bacterium
Lineage: Bacteria
Description: partial small subunit ribosomal RNA
Rfam family: Bacterial small subunit ribosomal RNA
Source: RNAcentral
AGAACGAACGCUGGCGGCAGGCUUAACACAUGCAAGUCGAACGCCCCGCAAGGGGAGUGGCAGACGGGUGAGUAACACGUGGGAACAUACCCUUCGGUUCGGAACAACGCCGGGAAACUGGCGCUAAUACCGGAUACGGCUUUUGAGCGAAAGAUUUAUCGCCGAAGGAUUGGCCCGCGUUCGAUUAGCUUGUUGGUGAGGUAACGGCUCACCAAGGCGACGAUCGAUAGCUGGU